GGACGGGUGAGUAAUGCCUAGGAAAUUGCCCUGAUGUGGGGGAUAACCAUUGGAAACGAUGGCUAAUACCGCAUGAUGCCUACGGGCCAAAGAGGGGGACCUUCGGGCCUCUCGCGUCAGGAUAUGCCUAGGUGGGAUUAGCUAGUUGGUGAGGUAAGGGCUCACCAAGGCGACGAUCCCUAGCUGGUCUGAGAGGAUGAUCAGCCACACUGGAACUGAGACACGGUCCAGACUCCUACGGGAGGCAGCAGUGGGGAAUAUUGCACAAUGGGCGCAAGCCUGAUGCAGCCAUGCCGCGUGUGUGAAGAAGGCCUUCGGGUUGUAAAG
This 327-nucleotide ribosomal RNA is filed under the name Vibrio alginolyticus. RNAcentral describes it as "partial 16S ribosomal RNA". It matches the Rfam family "Bacterial small subunit ribosomal RNA", at positions 100 to 430 of the family's 1533-position model. The record is from RNAcentral. RNAcentral also lists the same sequence under 6 other names. Lineage: Bacteria; Pseudomonadati; Pseudomonadota; Gammaproteobacteria; Vibrionales; Vibrionaceae.